UCUGGCAUCGAUGAAGAACGCAGCGAAAUGCGAUAAGUAAUGUGAAUUGCAGAAUUCAGUGAAUCAUCGAAUCUUUGAACGCACAUUGCGCCCUUUGGUAUUCCGAAGGGCAUGCCUGUUCGAGCGUCAUUUCACCACUCAAGCCUGGCUUGGUAUUA
Molecule: ribosomal RNA, 158 nt
Filed under: Ramulariopsis gossypii
Lineage: Eukaryota; Fungi; Ascomycota; Dothideomycetes; Mycosphaerellales; Mycosphaerellaceae
Description: 5.8S ribosomal RNA
Rfam family: 5.8S ribosomal RNA (bases 1-129)
About the family: 5.8S ribosomal RNA (5.8S rRNA) is a component of the large subunit of the eukaryotic ribosome. It is transcribed by RNA polymerase I as part of the 45S precursor that also contains 18S and 28S rRNA.
Source: RNAcentral